GAUGAACGCUGGCGGCGUGCUUAACACAUGCAAGUCGAACGAAUCACUUUAUUUGAUUUCCUUCGGGACUGAUUAUUUUGUGACUGAGUGGCGGACGGGUGAGUAACGCGUGGGUAACCUGCCUUGUACAGGGGGAUAACAGUUGGUAACGGCUGCUAAUACUGCAUAAGCGCCCAGCAUCGCAUGAUGCAGUGUGGAAAACUCCGGGGGUUUAAGAUGUACCGGCGUUGGGUUAGCUAGUGGGUGAGGUAAAUGCCCACUAAGGGGACGAGCCAUAGCCGAGAUGGGAGGGUGACCGGCCACAUUGGAACUGGGACACGGUCCAGACUCCUACGGGAGGGAGGAGUGGGGAAUAUUGCACAAUGGGCGAAAGCCUGAUGCAGCGACGCCGCGUGAGCGAAGAAGUAUUUCGGUAUGUAAAGCUCUAUAAGCAGGGAAGAUAAUGACGGUACCUGAAGAAGAAGCACCGGCUAAAUACGUG
This 481-nucleotide ribosomal RNA is filed under the name uncultured bacterium. RNAcentral's name for it is "partial 16S ribosomal RNA". It matches the Rfam family "Bacterial small subunit ribosomal RNA", at positions 28 to 507 of the family's 1533-position model. The record is from RNAcentral.